UACGUAGGGUGCAAGCGUUGUCCGGAAUUAUUGGGCGUAAAGCGUGCGCAGGCGGUCUUUUAAGUCAGAUGUGAAAUCCCCGGGCUUAACCUGGGAACUGCGUUUGAAACUGGAAGGCUAGAGUGUGGCAGAGGGGGGUGGAAUUCCACGUGUAGCAGUGAAAUGCGUAGAUAUGUGGAGGAACACCGAUGGCGAAGGCAGCCCCCUGGGCUAACACUGACGCUCAUGCACGAAAGCGUGGGGAGCAAACAGG
RNAcentral lists this ribosomal RNA (253 nucleotides) under uncultured bacterium. RNAcentral describes it as "partial 16S ribosomal RNA". It matches the Rfam family "Bacterial small subunit ribosomal RNA", at positions 524 to 776 of the family's 1533-position model. The record is from RNAcentral.